CUUGGGGUGGGGGGGUAACUCAGCCUGGAUUGCAAGAGGGCACAGGCCAGGCCGAGGAACCUCACCGCUGCAUG
Molecule: microRNA precursor, 74 nt
Filed under: Myotis brandtii (Brandt's bat)
Lineage: Eukaryota; Metazoa; Chordata; Mammalia; Chiroptera; Vespertilionidae
Description: mir-9193 microRNA precursor family
Rfam family: mir-9193 microRNA precursor family
Source: Rfam by way of RNAcentral